RNAcentral lists this ribosomal RNA (460 nucleotides) under uncultured bacterium. RNAcentral describes it as "partial 16S ribosomal RNA". It matches the Rfam family "Bacterial small subunit ribosomal RNA", at positions 338 to 795 of the family's 1533-position model. The record is from RNAcentral.
CCUACGGGAGGCUGCAGUGAGGAAUAUUGGUCAAUGGACGAGAGUCUGAACCAGCAAAGUAGCGUGAAGGAUGACUGCCCUAUGGGUUGUAAACUUCUUUUAUAACGGGAUAAAACGCGGCACGUGUGCCUUUUUGCAUGUACUUUAUGAUUAAGGAUCGGCUAACUCCGUGCCAGCAGCCGCGGUAAUGCGGAGGGUCCGGGCGUUAUCCGGAUUUAUUGGGUUUAAAGGGAGCGUAGAUGGGUUGUUAAGUCAGUUGGGAAAGUGUGCGGCUCAACCGUAAAAUUGCAAUUGAUACUGGCAGGCUUGAGUACAGUUGAGGUAAGCGGAAUUCGUGGUGUAGCGGUGAAAUGCUUAGAUAUCACGAAGAACCCCGAUUGCGAAGGCAGCUUACUAAGCUGUGACUGACAUUGAUGCUCGAAAGUGUGGGUAUCAAACAGGAUUAGAUACCCGUGUAGUC